Long non-coding RNA from Capsicum annuum, 1088 nucleotides. RefSeq lists it as uncharacterized. The record is from RefSeq and is a predicted model, not a curated record. Lineage: Eukaryota; Viridiplantae; Streptophyta; Magnoliopsida; Solanales; Solanaceae. The transcript is spliced from 2 exons.
UUUUAAGAGAAAACAAACAAUAUAGUGCUAAAAAUCAUUCUAAAAAUACAGUGUUGAGCAGGGAUCGAACCCACAUUGCUGGAGUAAAACCCAACCAUUUUAACCACUUGCACUACCAAUUUCUUUUAUAUUGUGAGUGUCAAGCAUAAUAUUUAUACAUUAACUGAUACAUAUACACAAAUAUACAAAGUUUCAACCGAGAAGUGCGGAUGUCGUGGCACCCCAAACCUUUUACAUAGAUCCGCCUCUGUAUAUAUUGACUGACGCAUACAAUUUUGAUGUAUACUGUAUCUCUUUGUUAUACCUAGUUGAGCAUAAGUACUUGUAUGAAAUAUUAUACUGCAAAAAUAUAAACUUAUUCCUCAUUAAAAAAAUUGUUUUGAGGACAAAAAUUAAAGAGUAGCACAAAAUAGAUAGAUGUAAAAGUGCAAAAUGAGUAUACAUGUGUUGGGUGGUGUAAAAGUGAACAAAUGGGCCAGACCCGACCCAACUGCGGCCCAUAUCAUUAGGGUUUUUGACCUUCAUCUUCUUCCUCAGGCUCAGUACCCUUACAGCUCUCCCUGCCGCUGCAAUUUCGUCCAACAAUGGUAUCUCUCUGCUACCCUUGUGGUCCGGCCCUUGGCUUUAUGUAUAGCUUGUAACUAUUCCUUCUUGUUGUUGUGUAUAAUGUGAGCAGGCUUCAGAGAAGAAAUUGAACAACCUUAUGAGGGAUAUCAAGGUCGCAGGUCUUAACUGCUGCUGGAUUAAAUGUGGCGUAUCAAAGAUAAAUUAUCGACAAGGUCAAUGAACAUUUGUGUAGCAUCUCUUUGUAAAGCCAAACAAUUGGAGAAAGCUGAAGUUGUAAUAGUUGAUGGCGUAAGAAUUGGAGUACAACCAGAUGUGGUCACUUAUAAUACAUUGGUUACUGCGUAUUGCCGCUUUGUUGGCAUUGAUGCAGGUUAUUCCAUCCUAUAUAGAAUGAAAGAGGCUGGAAUUAACCCUGACGUUAUUACGUAUAACUCCUUAAUAGCUGGAGCUACCAGAUAUUGCAUGUUAUCUCGAUGUCUUGAUCUGUUUGAAGAAAUGCUUGAGAUGAGCAUUUUUCCUGA